ACGAACGCUGGCGGCGUGCUUAACACAUGCAAGUCGAACGGUGAAGCGCCUUCCUUUUUGGUGGGUGUGGAUGAGUGGCGAACGGGUGAGUAACACGUGAGUAACCUGCCCCCUUCUUCUGGAUAACCUCAUGAAAGUGUGGCUAAUACGGGAUAUUCUGGGUCUGUCGCAUGAUGGGUCUGGGAAAGAUAUUGUUUCGGUGGGGGAUGGGCUCGCGGCCUAUCAGCUUGUUGGUGGGGUGAUGGCCUACCAAGGCGGUGACGGGUAGCCGGCCUGAGAGGGUGGACGGUCACACUGGGACUGAGACACGGCCCAGACUCCUACGGGAGGCAGCAGUGGGGAAUAUUGCACAAUGGGCGCAAGCCUGAUGCAGCGACGCCGCGUGAGGGAUGGAGGCCUUCGGGUUGUGAACCUCUUUCGCCAGUGAAGCAGGCCUGCCUCGUUUGUGGGUGGGUUGACGGUAGCUGGAUAAGAAGCGCCGGCUAACUACGUG
Molecule: ribosomal RNA, 493 nt
Filed under: uncultured bacterium
Lineage: Bacteria
Description: partial 16S ribosomal RNA
Rfam family: Bacterial small subunit ribosomal RNA
Source: RNAcentral